RNAcentral lists this ribosomal RNA (466 nucleotides) under uncultured bacterium. Its description in RNAcentral is "partial 16S ribosomal RNA". It matches the Rfam family "Bacterial small subunit ribosomal RNA", at positions 28 to 507 of the family's 1533-position model. The record is from RNAcentral.
GACGAACGCUGGCGGCGCGCCUAACACAUGCAAGUCGAACGAACGAGCGAGGGCUUUCUUUCUCAAGCGAGUGGCGAACGGGUGAGUAACGCGUGAGGAACCUGCCUCUAAGAGGGGGAUAACAGUUGGAAACGACGGCUAAUACCGCAUAAGCCCACAUGUCGCCAGGGGCGAGAUGGAAAAGGAGCGAUUCGCGUUGAGAUGGCCUCGCUUCCGAGUAUCUUGUUGGUGAGGUGACGGCACACCAAGGCAACGGGCGGUAGCCGGACUGGGAGGCUGAGCGGACACUAUGGGGCUGAGACACGGCCCGGACUCCUACGGAAGGGAGCAGAGGGGAAUAUUGCACAAUGGAGCAAGACCUGAUGCAGCGACGCCGGGUGGAGGAAGCAGGUCGUCGGAUUGUACACUCCUGUUGUUGAGGAAGAUAAUGACGGUACUCAAUAAGGAAGCGACGGCUAACUACGUG